Molecule: ribosomal RNA, 165 nt
Filed under: Piptatherum holciforme
Lineage: Eukaryota; Viridiplantae; Streptophyta; Magnoliopsida; Poales; Poaceae
Also listed under: 14 other names
Description: 5.8S ribosomal RNA
Rfam family: 5.8S ribosomal RNA
About the family: 5.8S ribosomal RNA (5.8S rRNA) is a component of the large subunit of the eukaryotic ribosome.
Source: RNAcentral
CCACACGACUCUCGGCAACGGAUAUCUCGGCUCUCGCAUCGAUGAAGAACGUAGCGAAAUGCGAUACYUGGUGUGAAUUGCAGAAUCCCGCGAACCAUCGAGUCUUUGAACGCAAGUUGCGCCCGAGGCCACCCGGCCAAGGGCACGCCUGCCUGGGCGUCACGC